AUACGGAGGGGGCAAGCGUUGUUCGGAAUUACUGGGCGUAAAGAGUACGUAGGCGGAUCGUUAAGUUAGAGGUGAAAUCCCAGGGCUCAACCCUGGAACUGCCUUUAAUACUGGCGAUCUAGAGAUCGAGAGAGGUGAGUGGAAUUUCCAGUGUAGAGGUGAAAUUCGUAGAUAUUGGAAAGAACACCAGUGGCGAAGGCGGCUCACUGGCUCGAUACUGACGCUGAGGUACGAAAGCGUGGGGAGCAAACAGGAGUAGAAACCCUAGUAGUCC
This 274-nucleotide ribosomal RNA is filed under the name uncultured bacterium. RNAcentral describes it as "partial 16S ribosomal RNA". It matches the Rfam family "Bacterial small subunit ribosomal RNA", at positions 523 to 796 of the family's 1533-position model. The record is from RNAcentral.